AUGGCAAUACUGAUAUCGUUUUAUUAUUUUAUUAUUUUUCGUGAUUUAUAACUUGUUGUUUUUAAAAUGGUUUCAGGCUAUUUGCAAGUAAAUUACGUUAUUAUUUGAUGACGCCAUCUUAAAUUUCCGUCCUCAUUAUGUUUUUUGUACUUUAUUUCCGUGUGGAAAUUGAUUGUGGUAUGGUAUAAAAGGGGUCCGAAGUUGUGCGUCGAUUGGAUGAAAACAUGGCGUGAAAAGUGCGACAUCACGCCGCGUGACUUACCCCAUAAACCAGUCCACGGUGUCGCGGAGAUACUCCGGUAGGCGCUCCAGCUUGACGGCCUGUGUGUUCCGCCUGGAUACUUGUUGACAAACACAAUGCCCUGCGGCGGUGCGGGCCUCCUAGAACAACGGGUGCUAGACUCGCGCACUGCACAGCUGAUUCGCUUCAACUUUGAUUCGGUGCUACUGCGUGAGACACCAUCGGUAUUGGAUGGCGGUGCCUAGCAAGUCGGUCACGAUCGCUCAGCGACGACGCUGCUGCUAUCGAUAGCGACAUGCGAGCAUGUUCGCCGAGGACGCGCGACCGUCGGUGAUAAGGCGAGAUUCACUGGCGCGACGGCGAUUGAUUAUUCGGCGGACGGGCAUAGAGGAAGCCCGCUGCCAGUCAGCAAACACUCACUGCAACUUAUGUACACCACUUACACACGGAGUCGGGCUUCGAAAACAAUCGAGCACGCCGUUCGAGCGACAUCGACUGUCAAUUACCACAAGCUUCAGGUUUCUGCCACCAGGGGGCGCAAUGUAUACCAAAACUUGAAUAUUACUCACUUUAAAAGCUUUUUUGCUUUCUACACACACAAACGACUAAUAAGUAAAUAAAACAUAGCGACAAUAUUUAAUUUAAUUAGAUUUAAUAUUAAUUAGUCUUAAUCUUUGGCACGGCAGUGCGUUUAAAAGCCAUUGAAAGUCAGUUAUUAAGUUUUUAAAUUUCUGCCGCCAGAGGGCGCCGUCGGUAUCAAAAUCUAGAAUAUUUCACUUUCAAGAAGCCAUUUUUCUUUUGUUUUGUGCACACACACCAGCAACAUACAAGUGAGUCAAAUAAAAAUAAUUAUUUAAUUUAAUUAGGUUUAAUAAACUUUAAUCAUUGAGCACGACGCUCAACAAACAUUUUUGUCACAAUUAAGAGAUUUGCAUGCAGCAGAGUAGUAUUUAUAGAAGGACGUCGUGCGUAAUUCGAUUGGCACAAAUUUUUCUCAUUUAUAGUCGAUUACAAAAAGCGCGCAAUAUAAUAUCUGUACACAUUUAUAAAAUGUAGGUAAUUUGCAAUUACGAAGU
This is a long non-coding RNA of Dalotia coriaria, 1317 nucleotides long. RefSeq lists it as uncharacterized. Lineage: Eukaryota; Metazoa; Arthropoda; Insecta; Coleoptera; Staphylinidae. The transcript has 2 exons. The record is from RefSeq and is a predicted model, not a curated record.